RNAcentral lists this ribosomal RNA (301 nucleotides) under uncultured bacterium. RNAcentral describes it as "partial 16S ribosomal RNA". It matches the Rfam family "Bacterial small subunit ribosomal RNA", at positions 509 to 807 of the family's 1533-position model. The record is from RNAcentral.
CAGUAGCCGCGGGAAUACGUAGGUGGCAAGCGUUGUCCGGAAUUAUUGGGCGUAAAGGGCUCGCAGGCGGUUUCUUAAGUCUGAUGUGAAAGCCCCCGGCUCAACCGGGGAGGGUCAUUGGAAACUGGGAAACUUGAGUGCAGAAGAGGAGAGUGGAAUUCCACGUGUAGCGGUGAAAUGCGUAGAGAUGUGGAGGAACACCAGUGGCGAAGGCGACUCUCUGGUCUGUAACUGACGCUGAGGAGCGAAGGCGUGGGGAGCGAACAGGAUUAGAUACCCCAGUAGUCCCUGUCUCUUAUAC